Molecule: long non-coding RNA, 1938 nt
Organism: Hevea brasiliensis (rubber tree)
Lineage: Eukaryota; Viridiplantae; Streptophyta; Magnoliopsida; Malpighiales; Euphorbiaceae
Exons: 2
Source: RefSeq, a predicted model, not a curated record
ACACAAGCAGCUGCAUGGAUGGUGCUUUUGGUUACACGAGUGGUGCUUUUGUUGACAGAAAUAUUUCACACCAACCCUGCUGAUUAUUUAAACGAUGUAAAGAAGGAAAGUAAUGGGCUAAUUUCUGCUCUUAAAGGCAGCUACAUUCCACUGGAGAUCCAAGGGAUAGUCAAUGAUAUCAAGCAUCUUAUAUCUGAUCUUGAUUGGGUGAGCUUCAGCUUUGUUAGAAGACCUUGCAAUCAGGCGGUUCAUGCGUUGGCCUCUGUCACCUUACAUGAUUCUUCUUUUAUUUAUAAUCCCUUGUCUCAAAUACACUUUGUAACUUCUCUCAUGCCUAGUUGAGGCUUCAAUGAAAUUAUCUUUGGAAAAAAAAAAAAAAAAUUCUAAUGGGCUCGUGUGCCUCAUUUCUAACGUUCUCUAUUUGAUUCCCAUGCCAGCUGUUGCUACUGCUUGUUAUUCCAGAUAAGAGAUAAGCUGGAGACUGUUGUAACUUCUCCUGCAAAUAUGAUAGGAAAUAUAGGCAUUCUUUGUAUAGAUUUCUCUAGAGUUUUUCUAGAUUCUUGUAUUUUGGAAUUCUCUUUUACCUGUAUAUAAACACACUGAUACUGAAUAACAAAUGAGGAAAUUCAUUUCCAAAAUUAUUACCCAUUUCUUUAUACUUUCCUCAGUCGAAUUUUUUCCAUGAAAAUCUUGAAUCUUUGCCUGGUUUUACUUCUUGCUAGGAAGGGAAGUGUUGAAUCGGAGUUGUUAUUAGCAAAUUGGGGAUCGGAAAUUUGCCCGUAUAUGGUUUGAUAGAUGGAUUCCUCAACCUGAACCUUUUCAGGCCAUCACUCCUCGUCUUCUGCCGCAUGAUGCAUUAGUUUCGUGUUUGAUUGAUGAGGAUAGGAGAGUGUGGAAUCGGGAGUUUUUGUCUAUUGUGUUUCUGCCAGUUGAUGUGGAUAGAAUAUGUUCCAUUCCUCUGAGUGUUAUUGGGCGUGAGGGUGUUUUGGUAUGGCAUUUCCAUUCAAGUGGUGAUUAUGUGGUGAAAAAUGGAUAUAGGGUUGUGUAUAACCUUCUUUAUUCAUCGGAGAUGGCUAGUUCUUCUUCCUUGGAUGUCUCUCAGGUAUGGAAAUUUUUUGGGAAAGUUCAAAGCGCCACCAAAAUGAUUAAUUUUUUAUGGCGAGCUGCUCUUAAUAUUCUCCCUACUAGAUAAGUGAUACAUUGCGGAAUAGAUUCUGUCACCUAUGUGUUGCUUUUGCGAUGCUUCGAAAUCAUUCGCGCACUUGCUCAGGGACUGCUCAGCUGUUAGCGCUGUUAAAGGCAACCAGAGGCGCCGGGCGAGGCAAGGCGAGCUCCUAGUGCCUCUGCCUGACUGAGGCGAGUCCACUUCAAGCAGGCGAGCGCCUGAGAUUGGUAAGGCGAGAAGCAUUUGGGUGACAAGAAGGCGCCUGCUCAGAAUAAUGUACACUUUCACUCUCUUUUUUAAUUUUUUUUUAAACAGCAUAAAACUAAAAAUAAACCCCAAGCUAAGUCUUCAAUUUACACCAUCAAAGCAGAGAAAAGAAUGGUACCAGCUGGAAAAACAAAGCAGACCAAGUAUUUUCUUCCUUCCCUUCUCUCUCUCUCUCUCUCUCUUUCAUCUUCACCUUCUUUCUCUCUAACCUCUAAUCUUCUCCUAUAUUUCUUCUCCUCUCACCUGCGCAACCUACCAGCAGGUCCAGUGCAUCCAGGGCUUUUGUUUUUCGUUUUUAAUUUUCUUCUUCUCUCCUCCUCUACUUCUCUUCUUCUAUCGAUCCGUCUUCAAUCCAACAGUUCCAGCAUUUUCAUUUUUCUAAUGGGUAUUAUUGUGAUAUACUUUUUCUUAAAUGGGUAUUGUCAUUCGUGAUAUUUUUUUAUUAAAUGGAUAUUGUGUAUUUGCCAUGGAUUCUUCUAAAUGUUGCCUAAUUGUCUUUAACCAGA